RNAcentral lists this ribosomal RNA (257 nucleotides) under uncultured bacterium. RNAcentral describes it as "partial small subunit ribosomal RNA". It matches the Rfam family "Bacterial small subunit ribosomal RNA", at positions 27 to 285 of the family's 1533-position model. The record is from RNAcentral.
GGGACGAACGCUGGCGGCGUGCUUAACACAUGCAAGUCGAACGGAAAGGCCCGCUUGCGGGUACUCGAGUGGCGAACGGGUGAGUAACACGUGGGCAACCUGCCCUCAGCUUCGGGAUAACACUUGGAAACAGGUGCUAAUACCGGAUAAUAACCUUUCAUCGCAUGGUGGUUGGUUCAAAGUUUUUCGGCUGAGGAUGGGCCCGCGGCCUAUCAGCUUGUUGGUGGGGUAAUGGCCUACCAAGGCGACGACGGGUA